Small RNA from Rahnella aquatilis, 124 nucleotides. It matches the Rfam family "STnc490 Hfq binding RNA". The record is from Rfam. NCBI's taxonomy places the organism in Bacteria, Pseudomonadati, Pseudomonadota, Gammaproteobacteria, Enterobacterales, Yersiniaceae.
AACCCCCAGCUAGGCUGGGGGUUCCGUAAAGCUUCCAGCUUUGAGCCGGAUAUAAAAACCCCUUUUGAUUUGUUAAAACACCUUGCGGUCUGGCAACUGCAUUGGUCAAACAAGAAAUCAAAAG